Phrynosoma platyrhinos (Desert horned lizard) is the source of this 72-nucleotide non-coding RNA. The record is from the annotation of a GenBank genome assembly. Lineage: Eukaryota; Metazoa; Chordata; Lepidosauria; Squamata; Phrynosomatidae.
GCCAGCAUGGCAUAGUGGUCUGAGCAUUGAACUAUGGUUUUGGAGACGAGGGUUCGAAUCCCUGCUCAGCCA